Molecule: ribosomal RNA, 557 nt
Filed under: Albatrossia pectoralis (giant grenadier)
Lineage: Eukaryota; Metazoa; Chordata; Actinopteri; Gadiformes; Macrouridae
Description: partial 16S ribosomal RNA
Rfam family: Bacterial large subunit ribosomal RNA
Source: RNAcentral
GGUCUCGCCUGCCCAGUGACUAAAUGUUAAACGGCCGUGGUAUCUUAACCAUGCGAAGGUAGCGUAAUCACUUGUCUUUUAAAUGAAGACCUGUAUGAAUGGCAAAACGAGGGCUUAACUGUCUCCCUUCCCCAGUCAAUGAAAUUGACCUCCCCGUGCAGAGGCGGGGAUAAACAUAUAAGACGAGAAGACCCUGUGGAGCUUUAGACUUAAAAUAACCACGUUAAACAAACUCCAACAUGAGAAAAAACCUAGUGAGCUUUAUUUAAAUGUCUUUGGUUGGGGUGACCGCGGGGCAAAACACAGCCCCCAUGAAGAUAGGGGAGAUAUCCCUAACACCAAGAGUUACCCCUCUAAGCAACAAAAAUUUUGACUUUAAAAAUGAUCCGGUUUUAACCGAUUAACGAACCCAGUUACCCCAGGGAUAACAGCGCAAUCCCCUCCCAGAGCCCCUAUCGACGAGGGGGUUUACGACCUCGAUGUUGGAUCAGGACAUCCUAAUGGUGCAGCCGCUAUUAAGGGUUCGUUUGUUCAACGAUUAAAGUCCUACGUGAUCU